UGCGUGAGGCGCUCGCAACCGGGGUUCGCCAGAUAUCGCGGAGCACGCUACCCCCUCCUUCCCAAGAAGCGGUUCUCCCCUGUGCCGGCCUCUCCGCCCUCACUCUUCUCUCAUCUGCCGAUGUUGAAGCCCAGGUGGAAUGCAAUUUAGGUCAACAAGAACCAUUGCUGCUGAUCAUUAGCUUGCUUGGGAGCUGCGGAGCCGGCAAGUUGCGGCGGCAGGGACGCGAAGUUGAGGGAGCGCUGAGCACGCACGGGCAGUGCAGUGCAGUGCUUCCUGAAGUGCUCGCCUGGUCGAGCUAAGGUCACAGGAGGAGGUGGAGAGAGGGAGGCCUAACCGCCCGCCCGGCGCUCAAGGUGUUCGUGCAAUUGCGUCGCCAGCGUGGCUCGGGCACUUCCUUCCUUCCGCUACGUGCCUGGUGGACGGGCGUGGGAGCGCGACCAGCUACACGCAGACAGAAGAGAAGCGAGUCCUUCGCUCGCAGACCAUGUUGUCUCUGGUGAGCCAGCAGCCGCCGCUCCCCGCACUGCAUUCCAGCGUCUCCCAUGCAUCGGCGUCAGUGGUGACAUUCGGCGCCACAUGGCUCCGUAGCAGCAGCGGCUAUGGCAUUCCAACUCGGUCUAGAGCUCUGGUCCCCUGCACGGGUUUGUCCAGUGGAGGUCUUGCCAAGGAUAAGCAGCAGGUCUGCCAAGAGAACGCCGCCUCUGAGAAUGAAGAUGGGGCUCUGGGAUGGAGCAAGGACGAGAUCGAGGCCAUCUCGGCGCUGUUUGAGUGGCCGAUGCGCCAGAGUCUGCUGAAGCCCCCGAGCCCGGUGACUCGGCGGCCGCUCCCGCUGCCGCAGCCCCACAAGACGAGGCUGCCGCCCGCUCCGACGCGGAAGCAGCACGUCCGGCUCCCCUCGCGCUCCUCGUUCAGUGACCGGGUGCGCAAGGAUCCGGAGGUCCUCGUCGGGAUCGCCCUGGAGAUUGCCGCGCUCUUGCCGGAGUCCGAGGUGUCCAUGGUGCUGGACAGCUGGGCUCCGUUCCUCCGGAAAGGGUCCCUGUCCAUGACCAUCCGGGAGCUCGGCCACAUGGGGCUCCCGGAGAGGGCGCUCCAGACACUUUGCUGGGCGCAGGCGCAGAAGGCCGUGCCGCUGUUCCCCGAUGACCGCAUCCUGGCCUCGACCAUCGAGGUCCUAGCGCGUUUCGACGAGCUGAGGAUGGAGUCCGCGCUUGAGGAGUGCGUGCCGUCGGCGAGCCGCGCUGUCCUCGAAGCCAUGGCGAGUGGGUUUAUAGGGGCAGGCAAAGUUGACCUGGCUCGCAAGGUCCUCGAGCUUGCCAGGAUAAACAAGAGAACGCUGCACCCGAGCAUCUAUGCAAAGCUGAUUCUGGAAGUUGCCCAGACACCUGAAGGCUACGGGCUUGCUGCUGCGCUGCUCGAUGAGCUUGGUGAGAGGCCGGACUUUGACCUGCGGCCGCAGGACUGCACGGCUGUGAUGAAGGUCUGCGUAAAGCUCAGGCGGUUCGCGGCCGUGGAGAGCUUGUUCAGCUGGUUCAGGGCGUCUGGCAGGAACCCGACCGUGGUGAUGUACACGACUGUGAUCCACAGUCGCUCCAGAGACGGGAGGCACCGGGAGGCGUUGGCCCUGGUGUGGGAAAUGGAGCAGGCAAACUGCCUUCUUGACCUGCCGGCAUACCGGGUCAUUGUCAAGCUGUGUGUGGCAUUGCGCGAUCCAGAAAGGGCUUUUCGGUACCUGUCUAGGUUGAAGGAGGCUGGGUUCCUUCCGACCAGUGACAUAUACUGUAAUUUGAUUGAAGGCUAUGCUGUAGCGGGGAGGAUGGCCAAGUGCCGGCAGCUUAUCAGGGAGGCUGAGUCCACCGGCGUGAUGCUGGACAAGAGGCUGGUUUCAAGCUUGUCUGAGAUGGAUAAUGGACAUCCUUGAACCACUGGCGAAGUGAAAGUCUAUGCUCCUGUAAUUUUCUGUAGGUGAUUGGAGACAGAGUAUUGGGAUCAGUUACUGGGAAUUGUAAAUCAUUUAAGGAUUAACAACACUCCAUUUCUGUGAGAGUUUGUGAAUUUUGAUUCAACCACUUUUCAGGCUAUCUGAUACAGGGCUGGCUAGAAUUUGCUGAAGGUUGCUCUCUUCAGAAGUAAAAAACUUGUACGGGUACCAAGUAACCACUGAUAUUGGACUAAUUGCUAUUGCAAGAGGGCACUGAUCUUGUAUUUCUGGAUAUAAGUGUUCUCCCGGUAAAUACUUAUGACACUGAAUUUACUGCACUACCAAUCGUCCAAAAAUUGAGAAUGAAAGUGGCAUCUACUUCAAUUUUUGUUGUUCAGACUAGGUUUGGGAAACUUUCCAAAACCUGUUGGUAAGACGUCUAACAAGAUUUUAACAAAGAGAAAAAGUGCUCCUCUUCAUUUGACCCUAUUCAUGGUUUUUCGUGCCAAACCUGUUAAUUAGCUGCCAUAGUACUAGCUUUUAGGAGUUUGGAUAAAGUAUUAGCUCCAUUUUUACCCAAAGAACUCAGACUGACUCUAUGAUGGUAGACGUUACAACUCAGAAUUCACAACCAUAGGCUGGAUGGAAGGCAGUGCUGGCCAAUGUGUCGUGCAACUUUCGCAAGCUCAGUCUCUUUACCGUAAGGUGAGUCCGAACUUUUAAUUUGCUUUGGCCUCAUCGUUUGAUGGAUGGCAUGUAUGAAUAUGGCUAGCAAUUGGGGAAUAAUUGUAAAUUGUGUCUUAGUUUUUGAUUAAUAAUAUAGUAUGGAGAGGAUGAACAAUAUGUUGUCACUCUUUUACAUAUGGAACUUAAGUUUCUGGCCAGAUAUUUGGUCUAUCUAUUUUUUUUCUGGUUGAAUCAUCUGUGUAGUACUUUUAAUAUAGAUGGUGCUGACAUUGUACGGAGCUUAACAUGACAGUAGCAAAUGAGAACUAUAUGCCCGAACGUGC
RNA transcript from Lolium rigidum, 2931 nucleotides. It is a transcript of the gene named pentatricopeptide repeat-containing protein At2g01860-like, with no coding region annotated. NCBI's taxonomy places the organism in Eukaryota, Viridiplantae, Streptophyta, Magnoliopsida, Poales, Poaceae. The record is from RefSeq and is a predicted model, not a curated record. The transcript is spliced from 4 exons.